This 468-nucleotide ribosomal RNA is filed under the name uncultured bacterium. Its description in RNAcentral is "partial 16S ribosomal RNA". It matches the Rfam family "Bacterial small subunit ribosomal RNA", at positions 28 to 507 of the family's 1533-position model. The record is from RNAcentral.
GACGAACGCUGGCGGCGUGCUUAACACAUGCAAGUCGAACGGAAAGGCCCUGCUUUUGUGGGGUGCUCGAGUGGCGAACGGGUGAGUAACACGUGAGUAACCUGCCCUUGACUUUGGGAUAACUUCAGGAAACUGGGGCUAAUACCGGAUAGGAGCUCCUGCUGCAUGGUGGGGGUUGGAAAGUUUCGGCGGUUGGGGAUGGACUCGCGGCUUAUCAGCUUGUUGGUGGGGUAGUGGCUUACCAAGGCUUUGACGGGUAGCCGGCCUGAGAGGGUGACCGGCCACAUUGGGACUGAGAUACGGCCCAGACUCCUACGGGAGGCAGCAGUGGGGAAUAUUGCACAAUGGGCGGAAGCCUAAUGCAGCAACGCCGCGUGCGGGAUGACGGCCUUCGGGUUGUAAACCGCUUUCGCCUGUGACGAAGCGUGAGUGACGGUAAUGGGUAAAGAAGCACCGGCUAACUACGCG